This 87-nucleotide transfer RNA is filed under the name Cryobacterium sp. TMB3-1-2. RNAcentral describes it as "tRNA-OTHER". It matches the Rfam family "tRNA". From Rfam's summary of the family: Transfer RNA (tRNA) molecules are approximately 80 nucleotides in length. Their secondary structure includes four short double-helical elements and three loops (D, anti-codon, and T loops). RNAcentral also lists the same sequence under 3 other names. The record is from RNAcentral. Lineage: Bacteria; Bacillati; Actinomycetota; Actinomycetes; Micrococcales; Microbacteriaceae.
GGGCGGGUAGCUCAAUUGGCAGAGCGGGGGGAUGCAUCCCCAAAACAAGUACCCAGGUUGCAGGUUCGAGUCCUGUCCCGUCCACCC